This is a long non-coding RNA of Camelus dromedarius (Arabian camel), 1020 nucleotides long. RefSeq lists it as uncharacterized. The record is from RefSeq and is a predicted model, not a curated record. The transcript is spliced from 3 exons. Lineage: Eukaryota; Metazoa; Chordata; Mammalia; Artiodactyla; Camelidae.
ACUCAGCCUGCACCUGCCUUAGCUCUUGCAGCCGCAUACCACUGCUACCUCCCCGCAGAGACUGAAAAAAAAAAAAACAACAAAAAAAACCCAGAAGGUACUCUUUGAAGGAUUGCAUGGUACUGCCUGGACCCUCGGGUUCACAAUGAUGAAGCCUUCUCCAGGAGAAGCUCCCCAACAUGAGCCGCCUUCAGGACCCAGGUUGGCUGCUGGCCAUGGCCUUGGGCUUCCUAGGCAAAGCCAGACUGGGAACCCAGUUACCAAACUGCCCCGGGCAGUUGCCUGAAGCUGCUGAGUCUGGGCUUCGGUUAACCUACAGCUCUUCAAGAUUCAGGAGUGUAUUGGAGGGGAACGUGCUGUCCUAACAGCUUCAUGCACAAAACUUUGGAGGAGCUCCAGGGCAUCCUGGGAGCCAAGAAGGAAAAGCUGCAGCUAAAGGCCCAGAGAGAGAGAGCCAGCAGGCCCACAGCUUCCCGCGCAAGUGGGGGCAUUGAGAAGCCCGCUAGAAGAAGAGCCUGGGGGUCAUGAAUAAGGCACCAGCAGAGGCCAGUGGAGACUGUGAUGCCGAGGAACCGCCGGGGCCCCAGAAAGUAGACGGGGCCAGAGAGCAGGAGGAGGGGGAAGAUAAAGCCCGGUAUUUCCCUCAGGUGGUGGGCAAGGAGCCUGACGCUUGUUCCUGAAGGUGGUCAAGCGCAGACAGCCCACCAGGCCCCCAGGGUAGAAGCAGCGGGUAAAGGAGCUGAAGCCUGACCUACGCCGAGACCUAAGUUGUGAUUGGAGGCUUCCAAGACCACUAGCUGCAAUGAGAAGAAUGCCAUCUACAAACCAAGAAAAGGGCUCUAACCAGAAACCACAUCAACCACCACCUUGAUUUUGGACUUCCCAACCUAUAGAACUUGAAAAUGGCGGCGAUGCGUGAAGAAGAGGCUAGUCAGCACGUGGGAAUUUUAUGAUUGAACACAUCUGAUUUUGAGGCUUGUGUGCUAUAGACAUAAAUUUCUCAGCGUGAUUGCUGCUCAU